UCUCGGAUCUGGGGCGUCUGAGUUCCGCGGGCUGCGUGGACUUUAUGACCCGUGACCGCGGCGACGCUGAUUGGUUCUCCGGGAUCUCGUCAUCCAAUGGGGGUGAGAACAGGACAGUUGUCAUCAGUGUCCGGGCAGAAGGACCCGACACAGGUUAGUCAGGAUGAAACCUAAGAGCACGGAGUUUCCAGAUAAAAUACACACAGCACUUGAAAUGAAUGUUCACAGAAACAGGUGCUGUCGGGGUCCUGGUGAGGGUGUGGGGCUGCCGUGGACACCUGCAUCGGGAGGUGACUGGAGUUUUCACAGCUCUGGUCAAGCACUUUUGACCCUGUGUUUUCUGUGACUCUCCGUGCUGGAAUCCCUACUUACCUCUGCUUUCACUUUCUACUUCAGUUAUGUGUGGCUGUGAUUUGAAGACAUCAAGUCAAAAUCCACAGAAAGAGAAGAUUUAUAAACUCAAUUUUUCUCCACACUACUGAACAGGGAUGAAAACUCAAAUCCCCAGUGUGUACCUCUGCCAUGAGAAUUACCUCUUCCCCGGGGUCCAUACCGCACAGGCCUGAGGAACUCAGGAGCCAACUGUUACCAGAUCCAGGGUCCCACACACCUGGGACAUUGAACUCCCUGAUCUCACCGGCUCAUAAAGUGUGAGUGAAGAUUGUAGCUAGUCUUACAAUGUCCCACCAGCCUGCUCCCAAAUCAGACAUGGAGACUUAUUAAUUAUGAAAGCUCACUAGAUAGCUUAGGCUUGUAUCUAAUUAAUUCUUAUAACUUAAAUUCACCCAUAUAUUUUAAUCUACAUUCUUUUUCCUGGCUUGGUUACCUUUACCUUGUAAAGCCCAUGAUUGCUGAUUGCUCUACAUCUCUAGUUUCUCCUAUAUGUUAUGCUUCCUCAACAUCUCCUGGUGACUCUGCCCUUCUUCUUUCCAGAGUCCUCUGUGCCUGGAAAUCCUGACGAGCUAUUGGCUGUUCAGCUUUUUAUUAAACAAAAGACAGUGACACUUCUUCACAGAGUACAAAGAGAUUAUUUCACAACAUUUCUCCUUUUGUAUAAAUUAAGAGGAAAGGUUUUAACUCUAAGAAUG
Peromyscus maniculatus bairdii (prairie deer mouse) is the source of this 1088-nucleotide non-coding RNA. The record is from RefSeq and is a predicted model, not a curated record. Lineage: Eukaryota; Metazoa; Chordata; Mammalia; Rodentia; Cricetidae.